This 429-nucleotide ribosomal RNA is filed under the name Bacteroidota bacterium. RNAcentral's name for it is "Bacteroidetes bacterium partial 16S ribosomal RNA". It matches the Rfam family "Bacterial small subunit ribosomal RNA", at positions 355 to 776 of the family's 1533-position model. Lineage: Bacteria; Pseudomonadati; Bacteroidota. The record is from RNAcentral.
UAGGGAAUCUUCGGCAAUGGGGGGAACCCUGACCGAGCAACGCCGCGUGAGUGAAGAAGGUUUUCGGAUCGUAAAGCUCUGUUGUUAAGGAAGAACGAGUGUGAGAAUGGAAAGUUCAUACUGUGACGGUACUUAACCAGAAAGGGACGGCUAACUACGUGCCAGCAGCCGCGGUAAUACGUAGGUCCCGAGCGUUGUCCGGAUUUAUUGGGCGUAAAGCGAGCGCAGGCGGUUAGAAAAGUCUGAAGUGAAAGGCAGUGGCUCAACCAUUGUAGGCUUUGGAAACUGGUUAACUUGAGUGCAGAAGGGGAGAGUGGAAUUCCAUGUGUAGCGGUGAAAUGCGUAGAUAUAUGGAGGAACACCGGUGGCGAAAGCGGCUCUCUGGUCUGUAACUGACGCUGAGGCUCGAAAGCGUGGGGAGCGAACAGG